CCUACGGGUGGCAGCAGUGGGGAAUAUUGCACAAUGGGGGAAACCCUGAUGCAGCGACGCCGCGUGAGUGAAGAAGGAUUUCGGUACGUAAAGCUUUAUCAGCAGGGAAGAAAAACCGGCCUUAGGGCCGCCAGACGGUACCCGACUAAGAAGCCCCGGCUAACUACGUGCCAGCAGCCGCGGUAAUACGUAGGGGGCAAGCGCUAUCCGGAUUUCCGGGGUGUAAAGGGGGCGUAGACGGCAGAGCAAGUCUGGAGUGAAAGGCCGGGGCGCAACCCCGGAACUGCUUUGGAAACUGUGCAGCUGGAGUGCAGGAGAGGUAAGCGGAAUGCGUGGUGUAGCGGUGAAAUGCAUAGAUAUCACGCAGAACCCCGAUGGCGAAGGCAGCAUACCGGUGCACAACUGACGCUGAGGCACGAAAGCGUGGGUAUCGAACAGGAUUAGAUACCCCUGUAGUC
RNAcentral lists this ribosomal RNA (458 nucleotides) under uncultured bacterium. RNAcentral's name for it is "partial 16S ribosomal RNA". It matches the Rfam family "Bacterial small subunit ribosomal RNA", at positions 338 to 795 of the family's 1533-position model. The record is from RNAcentral.